Molecule: ribosomal RNA, 380 nt
Filed under: uncultured bacterium
Lineage: Bacteria
Description: bacterial SSU rRNA
Rfam family: Bacterial small subunit ribosomal RNA
Source: RNAcentral
GACGAACGCUGGCGGCGUGCUUAACACAUGCAAGUGGUGCGACGAACCAGGGCUUGCCCUGGGGCAAAGCCGCGAACGGGUGAGUAACACGUGGGUAAUCUGCCCCGAUGACCGGGACAACCCGAGGAAACUCGGGCUAAUACCGGAUGAUGAGCCUUGGCGUAAGCCUUGUCUCUAAAGGAAGCUUCGGCCUCCGCAUUGGGAGGAGCCCGCGGCCCAUUAGCUUGUUGGUGGGGUAAUGGCCACCAAGGCAACGAUGGGUAGCUGGUCUGAGAGGACGAUCAGCCACACUGGGACUGAGACACGGCCCAGACUCCUACGGGAGGCAGCAGUGGGGAAUCUUGCGCAAUGCGCGAAAGCGUGACGCAGCAACGCCGCGU